This is a non-coding RNA of Arachis ipaensis, 1403 nucleotides long. NCBI's taxonomy places the organism in Eukaryota, Viridiplantae, Streptophyta, Magnoliopsida, Fabales, Fabaceae. The record is from RefSeq and is a predicted model, not a curated record.
CCCAACUCUAAUCCAGCUCUUUCACCCUGGCUACCUUGGCAGAGCUCCUCCCAUUCCCUUCGCCCUUCGCCCUUUGCCUUCCAAACCACUCGUCACAAUCUUCUUCAUCUUCUUAAUCUUCAUCUUAGUCUUCAUACUCUUCUUCUCUUUCUCGUUCUUCUUCUGUUCUUUCUGGAUCUCUUUGUUCACCUUCGAAUUCCACAAAUUUUGAGCUCCACCAAACAUGGGCGACGGCAAGGUCAAUCUCCCCGACGAUCUCUUCUCCUCCAAGCCCUCCGAUUCCAAAGUACGAUUAUCUCGCACUUUGAAGUUAUCAAUAUCAAGCACUUCUGUUAUUGGUUGCAAAUAUUGUUGUGGAUGACUGUGCCAUCUGCAGGAACCACAUCAUGGAUCUCUGUAUCGAGUGCCAAGCUAAUCAAGCUAGUGCAACUAGCGAGGAAUGCACUGUGGCUUGGGAGUUUAUGGAAGCUGUAGAAGCAAAAUCAUCUUCUUCAUCUGGGUAUGGUUCUAUGGUAAGCCUCCAUGGGUAUUUAGAGGAAGUGCCUUGUAUUAACUCCAUCUUGUGAAGGCAGAGAAAGCUAGAAGAUACAUUCCAAGAGAAUUCAAAUUGGCUGAAGCUUUUGGAAACACUUUGGGUGGCUUCUUUCUAGCCAGCUAUAAGGACAGUUCCUCCAGUGUCUUUGACGAGACAAUGGAAGCUAGUUUGGAGGGCCAAAGCUAUCUAGAUGUUCCUGCAACACAAAUGGUGCAUGAGCAACUUUGGGUAGAUAAAUAUGCACCAAAGUCAUUUACUGAGCUUCUUAGUGAUGAACAAACAAAUCGUGAGGUACUCUUAUGAUUGAAACAAUGGGAUCUGUUGUUUUUGGAUCUGAAAUUUGAAGUACAUCGAAUGAUGUUUUGUUUGCUUUGAAGCGACAUUCUUCUGUUGCCCAAACUCAGCGACCUUUCAAUUCAAAGUUUUCAAGGACAAAUAGAGGAGCCAAAUGGAGUAGUGGGAAGUAUAAAAAUUCAAGAAGUAUGGAUGAAAGUAGUAACUCACAGGGCAUUGAAGAUAUACUGAAUACAAGGACAACUAAUGUUGGUCCACCAGAAUAGAAGCUCCACCAAACAUUGCUGGGAAUCAUUCUGAGAGAGGGAUAUUGAGCUCGGUUAUGUACUUGUUGGGCACAAGGUUGUAAGAAAAGGAUAAAAGACAGAAAGAGGGACCGUGACGUGAUCUUGAGACCCCAGACUUGCUAUUAAUUUUGCAUUCCUUUUGUAAUUAUACAUGCGUUUUGCUUAGUUAGUGAAUUUCGGCUGGAUAGGAGGUUGAAGGAUUUUUUGUUACUGAAAAAACCUGGAAAGUUUUGUAUGAGGAUUAAUGUAUAAAACAAUUAUACAAAAAAUUGUCACCAAUUACUGUU